AACAAACAAACAAACAAAGGCGUCUGCUCAGUCACGUGACCGCACGACAACAAACCACAGCAGAGCACGAGUGGAGGGGGGAGGGGCGACAAGAGGAUGGCGACGGUUGGCCGGUUAGUCUGUGAAUGGACAGCAGGCGGCAGAGCGAAGUGACGGAAGUGAAAUGAGAACAGGAGUAGAUGGCGGGAAAGAUGAUGUAGAGGUAAAAUAAGAUAAAAACAAAGCGGGAAAGGAGAACAACAAGCAGAGUGAAAGUAAACCUGUAAUGUGGAGGAAACGGACAGUGAGCGCAGUGUAACCGUGACAACGAGACACGAGGACGGAUUUAAAGUGAUCAUAAAAUCGUCUCCAGACGGUCGUCGUUCGUCCAGUAGGCGGGAUUAAUGCACCUGUAAGCUGAUUUGUCAAAUGCCAUCAAGGCCUGAAGAAGAACGGAGGAGGACAGCACUACUGUGGUAGAGGAGCGUGUGUGUGCAGACAUGGCUGCUGUUGAUGAAGCGGACUGAACUUAGAGGAGAGACACAAACUAAAGUAUCGAUCCCGUCACGUCAGUGUGGAUCUGACACCAACGUCUGUAUCACUUCAUCGAUGCUUGUAUCGAUCCGCUCAGCCUGAGUUGAAGCAGCAAUGAGUUCAGUUCAGUAUCUGAGAGAGUUCAUCAAGGAGAGACUAACUGCUGUUUGUGAAGAAAUCUUCUCAGAGGUUCAAAAACCAUCGUCCAGUAUGAGGAGGAGAUCAACCGUCUGCACAGACUGCUGGAUAUCAGCCGAAACCCAACAUAAACUUACACAUCACAGAUCUACCACAACAUCAUGACUGUAAGGAAGAGGAGGGUCUGGAUGAGCAGCAGGUCUGUAACCAGGAGAGGAACUCCAGUGUGGACCAGGAGGACCCAGAGCCUCCACAGAUUAAAGAGGAACAGGAGGAACCCUGCAGCAGUCAGGAGGGAGAACAGCUUGGACUGAAGCAGGAGACUGAAGGCAUUAUUGUCUGGACUGAUGAAGAGCAGCUCAGAGUGAUGGAGACCAUCUGAAAACCUGUGAUAAAGUUACACAGAAUAGGUAGGAUGGACCUUGUCGCUUCACAAGUUGUCGUUUUAAUCCUACAUCCAAAAAAAUCUAAUAAAGAAUUCAUAAGAACUAGUGCGUUGUUUUUAUUAGAUUAUUUUUUUAAUUUCCAAUCAAUCAAUUAAUUAAUAAAAAUGCAGGAGACCGGGCCUUUGCAACUGCUCCGCCAAAAGUUUGGAACAGUCUGCCUCUUGAAAUUAGGAUCUCCAACACUUGACUUGACAUUUUGCACUUGACAAAAUGCAAACUAGGUAAUGGAACCCCUGGUUUCCGUUGCAUCCGGAAGAGCCGUGGUACAUGAGAGUGUUGUAGGUGACGUAGAUAUUUUCAUACGGGUCGUUUUUG
Oreochromis aureus is the source of this 1412-nucleotide long non-coding RNA. The record is from Ensembl. NCBI's taxonomy places the organism in Eukaryota, Metazoa, Chordata, Actinopteri, Cichliformes, Cichlidae.